Small nuclear RNA from Rhipicephalus microplus (southern cattle tick), 158 nucleotides. RefSeq annotates it as U1 spliceosomal RNA. NCBI's taxonomy places the organism in Eukaryota, Metazoa, Arthropoda, Arachnida, Ixodida, Ixodidae. The record is from RefSeq and is a predicted model, not a curated record.
AGAGUUAUGCUGGACCCACGGUGAGCAACAAGGCCGGGGUCCCGUGCCGAGGCUUCCUGCAUCACCGCAGGUCGCCGAAGCACGUCAUUCAACCCAAACUGGGGUGGAUGGGGCAUAUAAUUUUUGGUAGUGGGGCUUGGCGUGCCCGCUAGGCCCCU